RNAcentral lists this ribosomal RNA (447 nucleotides) under Gallasellus heilyi. Its description in RNAcentral is "partial 16S ribosomal RNA". It matches the Rfam family "Bacterial large subunit ribosomal RNA", at positions 1862 to 2597 of the family's 2925-position model. The record is from RNAcentral. Lineage: Eukaryota; Metazoa; Arthropoda; Malacostraca; Isopoda; Asellidae.
CCCUAUGAAUAAAUUAAAUGGCCGCAGUAUUCUGACUGUGCAAAGGUAGCAUAAUCAUUUGUCUCUUAAUUGGGGGCUGGAAUGAAGGAGGUAAUGAAAUACAAACUUUUGUUUUUUAAAGCAAAAUUGACAUAAGAGUCAAAAGGCUCUUAUAACUCUGAGGGACGAUAAGACCCUAUAAAACUUUACUUUAAAUUAAAUCCCGCAAGGUGCGGAGGAGAAUAAGAGUUGGACUGGGGCGGUUUUUACUAAACCUGUAUAAAUUUAAAUAUAAAAAAUAAAAUAUUAUAACUUUAUUAGGAAUUUAACUAAGUUACUUUAGGGAUAACAGCAUAAUCCCCCCAGAGAGUUCAAAUCGGCGGGGGGGAUUAUGACCUCGAUGUUGAAUUGAGAAAAUUUUUAUGGGCAGCCCCAUAAAAAAUUAGUCUGUUCGACUAUUGAAUUCUC